Long non-coding RNA from Pipra filicauda (Wire-tailed manakin), 844 nucleotides. RefSeq lists it as uncharacterized. The transcript has 2 exons. NCBI's taxonomy places the organism in Eukaryota, Metazoa, Chordata, Aves, Passeriformes, Pipridae. The record is from RefSeq and is a predicted model, not a curated record.
GUGUGUUCUCCAAAGCACCGUAUGUCACUGACUGAACUUCAGUCCACAUUUUGGACAAGAGUGUGGGGUUUUUGUGGCAUAAAAAGAAGUGAGGAGAUAUAUAGCUGAACUCUGUGAUUUUGACUCGAGGUGACAGCUGAAAAGCACCAGAAACCCUUGGAAUUUCAGAUCUAUAUAUUACUAUAAAGGAAGAAAAUAAAGUUCCACUAGGAGAAGGCAGGGAAUUGCGUUUACCAAAUAUACAUAGUUUAAAAAACACAACCUCUGAAACAUUUACCUUAAAAAAAGUCAAGAGAGCAGAAGUUUUCUUUUGUAUCUGUAGAGCAAACAUCCCUGGGAUUUGUAAUAAAAACCCAGUUAUGAGAUCCGGGGUCCCUCCUGUUAACAAGGAUCUCUUAGCAGAUAUUGAAAUAUUGCCACGUUGGAGAGAAGUUAUUUAAGGACCCUCCAGGAGCUGAUGCAAAGGCAGAUUCUGCUGAGACUGUUUUCCUCUCUGCAAACCUUUGAAGGAAGCGUGUCCUGAACAUAUUCCACUUUAGAGAGAUGCAACAAAUAACAAGCUACAACCAAAGCCAGCCCAGCUUCAUGAUGAAUUUCAAGGAGCGUGACCAAUAAUCCUUCUACUUAUCUUAAAAAUCCUGUGGAAGUAGUAAACCAUUUCCAACACAACUGAAAGCAAAAUGUGGGGGGAAAAUAAGAAAGAAAAAUCACAAAACAAGCCAUCUGUCAGUGAGCAACCCAAGAAUCCUGAGUCCACUCAAGUAGUUAGUGCAUGUUUUUCUGUCCUGCUAAUGGAUUGCAUAUUGUUGAAAAUAUGAAUUACAGAAUAAAUCAGAAGAAAGUA